AUGGGCGCAAGCCUGAUGCAGCGACGCCGCGUGCGGGAUGGAGGCCUUCGGGUUGUAAACCGCUUUUAUAGGGGGGCAAGCUAUGCCUGUGUGGUGUGGUGAGUGGACUUUAUGAAUAAGCACCGGCUAACUACGUGCCAGCAGCCGCGGUAAUACGUAGGGUGCAAGCGUUGUCCGGAUUUAUUGGGCGUAAAGGGCUCGUAGGCGGUUUGUUGCGUCUGGUGUGAAAGCUUACUGCUUAACGGUAGGUUGCGCUGGAUACGGGCAGGCUUGAGUGCAGUAGGGGAGACUGGAAUUCUCGGUGUAACGGUGGAAUGUGUAGAUAUCGGGAAGAACACCUAUGGCGAAGGCAGGUCUCUGGGCUGUUACUGACGCUGAGGAGCGAAAGUGUGGGGAGCGAACAGGAUUAGAUACCCUGGUAGUCCAUGCUGUAAACGGUGGACGCUGGAUGUGGGGCCCAUUUCCACGGGUUCUGUGUCGGAGCUAACGCGUUAAGCGUCCCGCCUGGGGAGUACGGCCGCAAGGUUAAAACUCAAAGAAAUUGACGGGGGCCCGCACAAGCGGCGGAGCACGCGGAUUAAUUCGAUGCAACGCGAAGAACCUUACCAGGGCUUGACAUAACCUGGAUGAUGCCAGAGAUGGUGUGUCCCUUCGGG
This 656-nucleotide ribosomal RNA is filed under the name Scardovia sp. oral taxon 195. Its description in RNAcentral is "bacterial SSU rRNA". It matches the Rfam family "Bacterial small subunit ribosomal RNA", at positions 371 to 1024 of the family's 1533-position model. The record is from RNAcentral. Lineage: Bacteria; Bacillati; Actinomycetota; Actinomycetes; Bifidobacteriales; Bifidobacteriaceae.